AGGAACUUUGUGGGCGUGGCCUUAUAGAUGUUUGACAACAUGGCACAUGAGGCGCUCAGUGAUUGGCUGUGCUGGCUGUCAGUCACAGUGAUAUCUCCAGAAAUCUCUGUUCCCGGGCAAUUAUCUGCGCUGGGAUGAGUGUCUGUCAUGAACUCUUUGUCUCAGCUGAUGUCAGUUUCUGCACAAGUCUAUGGAGGGGUGUGUAUGGGAGAGAGAUAGGAGGAGGAGUGCCUUGGAACAUACCCAGGUUGUAGAGUGACAGAGAGAGCAAGUAUUACUAUGCGACAAGGCAGUCUGACUGCAACAUCGGACUACACAAGGUUUAUUUGUUGUCUUUUAUCACAGAAAAACAUGAGUCUGCAUAGUAGCUGUAGACGCUAAAUGGUACACAGCAGUAUUUCCAAUCAGUACGUAGAGCAGCGGUCCCUGGACAGGAUAUUUCACAACUCAACCACCCCCAUUAACUGUUGUAUUUUUUUAAAUCUAUAAAGACUGUAAACGUGAACCCCACACCAGUGAGAAAGAAGAAAAGGAUGGGAAUGCCCGGUACUGCCAUUGUUCAAGGAAAUACAAUUACCAGUGUGUACUUACAAGCUUUCCCCAUUGCCAUGACAGCACCACCGGAGAGGAAUACCAUACGUACGGAAUGACAGACUGAAGAACAGCCAAAAGAAAAGUGGAGAGUUACCAACGUCCAAUCUAUAGAAGACCAAGCGGCCACCCUGCAGAUUUGGUCAAUCUGGGCUCCUCUCAAGAAGAAGUAACGGUUCUGGUGGAACGAGGCUUAAGAAAGGCGAGAAGAUACAUAUGCCAAACCUUUGGCUUCUCUGAUCCUAGCCCUAUCUCCUUUGGGCCAGAUAUCUGAGCACAAGGGUUAUUAGACUUUCUAAGUCCUAUCCAACUGUACGAACACAUUUUUUGACAUUUAACAUAUGAAACUGGUGUUAUCGCUCAUUGGGUGGAUUAUUGCCGAAAUAUGGCAGAUCCAAAUCUGAGGACAUGUGGAGGCUGGAAACCAUCUUACGGAGGAUAUCUGGCCCAAAAGAGAUAGGGCUCGGAUCAAAAGCCAAAAGCUUGGCAUAAAAUAAUUCUGUCCUGAGGAAUCUGUAUGUAUUUCCCUGAGCUAUAGAGGCCAUUACCCAGACUAAGAGCGGAGGUAACUACCAGGAGAGACGUCUUUCACACCACAUUUCUUUCAGCUAGAGGAGGAAAGGCACAUACCAGCCUCCAUUUCCACUUGUGUGAUAGGGCAUGGACACAGAGAGUACAUGUUCUUUACCUGGCGGUUUUCUCUAGUUGUGAAGUCUGCUUGAGUUGACCCCCAUAGUGCUGACACUAGUGAAUACUGGUGUAUUUCAAGUCAUCCCUUUUUCCAAAAGCCAGAAAAGUGUCUAAAAAAACAUUCAGUAGAAGUGACACGCAGCAUACGCAAAUUAUGGCAGAAUUCUGGAGUGUGAGAUGGACGGGCAGAGUCACCUUUAGAGGGUUAAUACUAUAGAGGAUGAGAACUGUGAGAGCAGCUGACAGGGCAGUGGCAGGGACCACGUGGUCCUGGCAGCAACUGCAGGAAGUGUCCCUGUACUGUAUGUACUGUACAUGAUGCACGAGGAUAUAGUACACCGCCACGUUAUGACAGAGCCCGGGACAUCCCCUCACAACAACAACAAGGUGGGUGGGAUCUACCCAAAUGCUGACAAGUGAACCCUGCCCUACAUGACCAGAACGGCAUCACCAGGAUGACUCUCGCCCUGUCCUCUCCGAUCCGAUGAUCCCUGGAAGUCUUGUCAGACUUGACAUUUCUUCUGUGAAGCAGAGGGGGCGCUGUCUGCAGGGCCAGAGAACUGCCAGUAGCUUUCUGUAAUUUGAUGACUGGUUCGGGCAGGUAAUUCCUAGGGAUCCUGAAAGUUUUGCUGCUCUACGAGAGUAAGCAGCCCCCGGGACAGAAAUCUGACGUUAAAGGGGUACUCCUGUAGAAAACUUUUUUUUUUUUAAAUCAA
Hyla sarda is the source of this 1997-nucleotide RNA transcript. RefSeq lists it as uncharacterized. Lineage: Eukaryota; Metazoa; Chordata; Amphibia; Anura; Hylidae. The transcript has 7 exons. The record is from RefSeq and is a predicted model, not a curated record.